GACGAACGCUGGCGGCGUGCCUAAUACAUGCAAGUCGAACGCUUCUUUCCUCCCGAGUGCUUGCACUCAAUUGGAAAGAGGAGUGGCGGACGGGUGAGUAACACGUGGGUAACCUACCCAUCAGAGGGGGAUAACACUUGGAAACAGGUGCUAAUACCGCAUAACAGUUUAUGCCGCAUGGCAUAAGAGUGAAAGGCGCUUUCGGGUGUCGCUGAUGGAUGGACCCGCGGUGCAUUAGCUAGUUGGUGAGGUAACGGCUCACCAAGGCCACGAUGCAUAGUCGACCUGAGAGGGUGAUCGGCCACACUGGGACUGAGACACGGCCCAGACUCCUACGGGAGGCAGCAGUAGGGAAUCUUCGGCAAUGGACGAAAGUCUGACCGAGCAACGCCGCGUGAGUGAAGAAGGUGUUCGGAUCGUAAAACUCUGUUGUUAGAGAAGAACAAGGACGUUAGUAACUGAACGUCCCCUGACGGUAUCUAACCAGAAAGCCACGGCUAACUACGUG
RNAcentral lists this ribosomal RNA (508 nucleotides) under uncultured bacterium. Its description in RNAcentral is "partial 16S ribosomal RNA". It matches the Rfam family "Bacterial small subunit ribosomal RNA", at positions 28 to 507 of the family's 1533-position model. The record is from RNAcentral.